Small nuclear RNA from Molossus molossus (Pallas's mastiff bat), 105 nucleotides. NCBI's taxonomy places the organism in Eukaryota, Metazoa, Chordata, Mammalia, Chiroptera, Molossidae. The record is from RefSeq and is a predicted model, not a curated record.
GUGCUGGCUUCGGCGGCACACAUGCUGCAGAACGGACGGCACAGAGAAGACGAGCGGGCCCCGCACAAGGAUGACACACAGAUUCAUGAGGCGUUCCAUACUUCU